AUGACGACGUCGCCGGCGACACACGACGGCGCCGCCACCGGACUCAGCGAGCCACUCCUCCCGAACCGCAACGGCGUCCACGCAGGAGCACUGGUUGUCACGCCGGUCGUGGCCAAUGGUCACGGCGGCGGCGACAAGCUUAAGGGCGACCUGAAAGCCAAGGACAAGUACUGGAAAGACGUCGACCAACCGGACGACGUGGCGGCAGCGCCAGACCUGGAGAAUGGCGGCGGCCGGCCGCUGCUGUUCUCGAACAGGAGAGUCAAGAAUAUCAUCCUGUACCCGUACAGGGUAUUGAUCCUGAUACGAGUAAUCGCCGUCAUCUUAUUUGUCGGAUGGCGCAUCAAGCAUAAUAAUUCUGAUGUCAUGUGGUUUUGGGUGAUGUCCGUCGUCGCAGACGUGUGGUUUAGCUUAUCAUGGCUAAGCUACCAGCUCCCAAAGUAUAAUCCCAUUAAAAUGAUACCCGACCUUGCUACACUGAGAAAGCAAUUUGACACUCCAGGCAGGAGCUCCCAACUGCCAGGCAUCGACGUCAUUGUUACCACUGCCAGUGCUACUGAUGAGCCCAUAUUGUACACCAUGAACGGUGUUCUCUCUAUCCUUGCAGCCGACUAUCAUAUUGGCAGGUGCAACUGCUACCUAUCAGAUGAUAGUGGCUCAUUGGUCCUCUAUGAGGCAUUGGUUGAAACUGCAAAGUUUGCUGCUUUGUGGGUUCCGUUCUGUAGAAAGCAUCAGAUUGAGCCAAGAGCACCAGAAAGCUAUUUUGAACUAGAGGGCACGUUGUGCGGAGGGGCCUCACAUAAGGAGUUCAUUCAGGAUUAUAAGCAUGUACGCACGCAAUAUGAUGAGUUCAAGAAGCAUUUAGAUAUGCUUCCUAACACCAUCCGCCAAAGGUCAGACAUUUACAGUAGAACAGGAACAAAGGAUGAAGAUGCAACAGUGACUUGGAUGGCUGACGGAACACAAUGGCCAGGCACAUGGCUUGACCCAACAGAAAAACAUAGGCCUGGCCACCAUGCAGGAAUUGUUAAGAUUGUGCAGAGCCAUCCAGAACAUGUGGUUCCACUAGGCGUACAAGAGAGCAAUGACAACCCACUCAACUUUGACGACGUUGAUAUGCGCCUGCCGAUGCUGGUGUAUGUGGCUCGUGAAAAGAGCCCAGGUGUCGAGCACAACAAAAAGGCAGGCGCUUUGAAUGCAGAGCUACGUAUCUCAGCUCUACUCUCUAAUGCACCUUUCUUCAUCAACUUUGAUUGCGACCAUUACAUCAACAAUUCAGAAGCCCUGCGUGCAGCUAUUUGCUUCAUGCUAGACCCACGGGAAGGGGAUAAUACUGGAUUUGUUCAGUUCCCGCAAAGAUUUGAUAAUGUUGACCCAACAGACCGAUAUGGAAACCAUAAUCGAGUCUUUUUUGAUGGCGCCAUGUAUGGCCUCAAUGGUCAACAAGGGCCUACUUACCUUGGCACAGGUUGCAUGUUUCGUCGCCUUGCACUCUAUGGUAUCGAUCCACCUUGCUGGAGAGACGAGGACAUCAUAGUCGACAGUAACAGGUUUGGUAACUCAUUACUCUUCCUGAACUCAGUUUUAGCAGCCAUAAAGCAAGAAGAAGGUGUCACACUACAACCACCACUGGAUGAUUCAUUUCUUGAAGAGGUGACAAAAGUAGUGUCAUCUUCCUAUGAUGAUUCGACAGAUUGGGGUAGGGGCAUUGGCUACAUAUACAAUAUGGCAACAGAAGACAUAGUAACAGGAUUUCGCAUCCAUGGGCAAGGUUGGCGCUCCAUGUAUGCUACCAUGGAACGUGAAGCAUUCCGUGGCACUGCACCCAUCAAUCUAACAGAGCGCCUCCGACAAAUAGUCCGAUGGUCUGGUGGUUCCCUAGAGAUGUUCUUCUCACACAUUAGCCCUCUGUUUGCUGGUCGUCGACUCAGCUUGGUGCAGCGACUCUCCUACAUCAAUUUCACUAUCUACCCAUUGACAUCACUCUUUAUCCUAAUGUACGCCUUUUGUCCAGUGAUGUGGCUUCUUCCAACAGAAAUACUUGUACAGAGACCAUAUACUAGGUACAUUGUGUACCUUAUCAUCGUCAUUGCGAUGAUCCAUGUGAUUGGCAUGUUUGAGAUAAUGUGGGCAGGAAUCACAUGGUUGGAUUGGUGGCGCAACGAGCAAUUUUUCAUGAUUGGCUCAGUAACUGCAUAUCCAACAGCAGUGUUGCACAUGGUGGUGAAUCUCCUUACAAAAAAAGGUAUACACUUCAGAGUCACCACAAAGCAACCAGUUGCUGAUACAGAUGACAAGUAUGCUGAGAUGUAUGAAGUGCAUUGGGUGCCCAUGAUGGUACCGGCGGUUGUGAUAUUGUUUUCCAACAUCUUGGCUAUUGGUGUAGCAAUUGGUAAAUCAGUCUUAUACAUGGGGACAUGGUCUGCAGCGCAGAGAAGGCAUGGUGCACUGGGUCUGCUAUUCAACCUGUGGAUUAUGGUGCUCCUUUACCCAUUUGCAUUGGCGAUUAUUGGAAGAUGGGCCAAGAGAACUGGAAUCCUCUUCAUCUUACUACCCAUUGCUUUUUUGUCCACCGCAUUGAUGUACAUUGGCAUCCAUACAUUCCUUUUACAUUUCUUUCCAUCCAUGUUGAUAUAG
This 2637-nucleotide ribosomal RNA is filed under the name Triticum aestivum (bread wheat). RNAcentral's name for it is "partial small subunit ribosomal RNA". Lineage: Eukaryota; Viridiplantae; Streptophyta; Magnoliopsida; Poales; Poaceae. The record is from RNAcentral.